Molecule: ribosomal RNA, 253 nt
Filed under: uncultured bacterium
Lineage: Bacteria
Description: partial 16S ribosomal RNA
Rfam family: Bacterial small subunit ribosomal RNA
Source: RNAcentral
UACGGGGGGGGCAAGCGUUGUUCGGAAUUACUGGGCGUAAAGGGCUCGUAGGCGGCCAACUAAGUCAGACGUGAAAUCCCCAGGCUCAACCUGGGAACUGCGUCUGAUACUGGAUGGCUUGAAUUCGGGAGAGGGAUGCAGAAUUCCAGGUGUAGCGGUGAAAUGCGUAGAUAUCUGGAGGAAUACCGGUGGCGAAGGCGGCGUCCUGGCUCGCAUCUGACGCUCAGACACGACAGCAUGGGGAGCGAACGGG